Molecule: ribosomal RNA, 292 nt
Filed under: uncultured bacterium
Lineage: Bacteria
Description: partial 16S ribosomal RNA
Rfam family: Bacterial small subunit ribosomal RNA
Source: RNAcentral
GUGUCAGCAGCCGCGGUAAGACGUAGGGGGCCAGCGUUGUUCGGAAUUACUGGGUGUAAAGGGUUCGUAGGCGGUGUGGCAAGUCGGGAGUGAAAUCUCUGGGCUCAACCCAGAGGCUGCUUCCGAAACUGCUGUGCUUGAGUGUGGGAGAGGCGCGUGGAAUUGCAGGUGUAGCGGUGAAAUGCGUAGAUAUCUGCAGGAACACCCGUGGCGAAAGCGGCGCGCUGGACCACUACUGACGCUGAAGAACGAAAGCUAGGGGAGCAAACAGGAUUAGAUACCCGCGUAGUCC